Molecule: ribosomal RNA, 846 nt
Filed under: actinomycete CXB877
Lineage: Bacteria; Bacillati; Actinomycetota; Actinomycetes; Actinomycetales
Description: bacterial SSU rRNA
Rfam family: Bacterial small subunit ribosomal RNA
Source: RNAcentral
GCUGCGGUCUUACCAUGCAAGUCGAACGAUGAAGCCGCUUCGGUGGUGGAUUAGUGGCGAACGGGUGAGUAACACGUGGGCAAUCUGCCCUGCACUCUGGGACAAGCCCUGGAAACGGGGUCUAAUACCGGAUACGACACAGGAAGGCAUCUUCUCUGUGUGGAAAGCUCCGGCGGUGCAGGAUGAGCCCGCGGCCUAUCAGCUUGUUGGUGGGGUGAUGGCCUACCAAGGCGACGACGGGUAGCCGGCCUGAGAGGGCGACCGGCCACACUGGGACUGAGACACGGCCCAGACUCCUACGGGAGGCAGCAGUGGGGAAUAUUGCACAAUGGGCGCAAGCCUGAUGCAGCGACGCCGCGUGAGGGAUGACGGCCUUCGGGUUGUAAACCUCUUUCAGCAGGGAAGAAGCGCAAGUGACGGUACCUGCAGAAGAAGCACCGGCUAACUACGUGCCAGCAGCCGCGGUAAUACGUAGGGUGCGAGCGUUGUCCGGAAUUAUUGGGCGUAAAGAGCUCGUAGGCGGCUUGUCACGUCGGAUGUGAAAGCCCGGGGCUUAACCCCGGGUCUGCAUUCGAUACGGGCAGGCUAGAGUUCGGUAGGGGAGAUCGGAAUUCCUGGUGUAGCGGUGAAAUGCGCAGAUAUCAGGAGGAACACCGGUGGCGAAGGCGGAUCUCUGGGCCGAUACUGACGCUGAGGAGCGAAAGCGUGGGGAGCGAACAGGAUUAGAUACCCUGGUAGUCCACGUCCGCAAACGUUGGGAACUAGGUGUGGGCGACAUUUCCACGUCGUUCCGUGCCGCAUCUAACGCAUUAUGUUCCCCCGCCUGGGGAGUACGGGCCGCAGGGU